AACGCAUCUUGCGCUCUUUGGUAUUCCAAAGGGCAUGCCUGUUUGAGUGUCAUUAAAUUCUCAAAGCAAAUAAAUGUUGCAUUGCUUGCUUUGGAGCUGAAGAUUGCUGGCUAUUUUUGUUGGUCGGCUUCUUUGAAAUGCAUUAGUGAGAUCAUGGCUUGGUCUUGGUGUGAUAAGUAUCUGCACCUUGAAACUGCUAUUGAACUUGCUCAAUAAUAAGACUACAUUUUUUGACCUUUGACCUCAAAUCAGGUAAGACUACCCGCUGAACUUAA
RNAcentral lists this unclassified non-coding RNA (275 nucleotides) under uncultured fungus. RNAcentral's name for it is "partial contains 5.8S ribosomal RNA, internal transcribed spacer 2, and large subunit ribosomal RNA". The stretch from base 1 to 52 matches the Rfam family "5.8S ribosomal RNA", at positions 103 to 154 of the family's 154-position model. Lineage: Eukaryota; Fungi. The record is from RNAcentral.